CGACUAGUGUCUCCGGUAACUCUUCCGUUUCCAUCCCAAGCAGACCGUUAGCAUCCAGCUAGCUUAGCACCGCGCUAACAACAGAAGUACCGGAGCUCACCGGUACCGGACAGACGGUUCUGUGGUGGCGGAGGCAGUUUAACGGGAGUUAAUGAAGCAGUAAGCAGCUCCGGUAGUUAGAAUAGCCUCCUUUAUGAGAACCGCUCCGUGUUCAUGAAUUCAUUAGCCGUGGAGCUAACAGCUAGCCGCUCAGAACUAACGGCUAACAGGUAACAGCAGGUUCUAAAGACAUGAACUGACUGCGGAGCACCGAUUAAAAACACUAUUCAGUAAUUAACAGUUUAAUUAAAGCUAAUUAUCCGCUAACACUCACAACCUGCACUGAACUGAUUUAUCCUUUGCAUCACAAUGUAAGCAGGGUUUUUAUACCCUGAAUUUGUCUGUCAGGCUCUAAGAAAAUAAACAUAUUUAAAACAAAAAAACAAAGGGUAGUUUUUUGUGUCUCUCCAUCUUUGUGAUAAUUUCAUGACUAUUUCCAACACAUUAAAACGCCAUAGACGUGAAGAAUUUUUAAAUAAAUCGCGUUUUAUACAGGGGCGGGCUGCCUGACAGUCUGAACUGGGGGAGGCAAAACCAGCUUUUAAUACAGGCUUCGCUUUGUGCAUUGAGCUCCUUCGGCUUCCGUAGCGCCGGUUUAGUGUGAAAUAAAAACAGUAACUGUGAAAUAAACACCACAACAAUGUGAACGAAGCUCUGACAGUCCGCAGGAACACACGCCGGGUUUAACCGGAGCCGUCAGUUAGCCUGCCGUGCUAACGUUAGCACUUCCUGUAGUUUUGUAACGAUGUCGUAACAGCAGUGACGUAACUGAAGCAGAACGAGCAGAGAGCAGACAGGUAGAUCCAGGUGAGUCCAGAUGCGGCGCUCGGUGUCCGAGGCCUUGUGGGCCGUGUGUGCAGCCGACUCCAUGUCCAUGCCGGUCCACUGGUACUACAACGUCCAGGACAUCUGCAGGGACUUUGGAGGCUGGAUCUCAGGCUUCAGUUCCCCCCGAGACAGACACCCGUCCAGCAUCCUCAGCAUGUCCAACACCGCUGGCAGCGGUCGCUCUGCCUGGUCUUCCGGCUCCAAACGUCCUGAUGUGGUCGGAAACAUCAUCCUCCACGACAAACUGGACUUAUGGAAGUCCUCCAGAGGCUCCGUACACUACCACCAGGGUCUCCAGGCUGGAGAGAACACACUGAACGUUCUGUGUUCUCUGAGAGCUGCUCGGACUCUGGUUUCUGGAAGGUUCUCCGAUGUUUCCCGUCCGGAGCCUCGAGGCGCAGUGUUGGCCGACUACGUCCAAUUCCUGACCACGCCCGGAUCGCACAACGACUCGUACGCCGAGUCCUUCCACCGGGCGUUCUUCUCCGACUGGCAGGAGGACCGGCUGAUGGCACCAAGCGACAUCCUGGUGUUUGCUGAGGAACGUUCUCGGUUGAAGCUUAGCUCUUCAUUCCCUGACAGUCAGCUGGACGCCAUCGGCUGCCUUCCCAUGAUCCUCCCCUUCGUCCUGCUGUCGGCUUCAGCCAAUGAGGAGCGAGCUGUGUCGGCGGCGGUGGACUUCGUGAAGCUCACCCAUCCUCACCCCAGAGUUCCUGAGUAUGUGUCGAUCUACAGCCGGGCACUGCACGCUGUGGUGGGCGGAGCCAGCGUCCGCCAGCAGGCCGAGCGUGCUCUGAAGGCGCUGGACACCUGGGACACCUGCCAGAGCUUCAUGCAGAAGGCGGCCAGGUUCCCUGAUUCCUCUGAGGACAGACUGAAGGUCCAUCAGAAUGCUGUGAACCACCUCGGCCUUGCCUGCUACACUAAAGGAGCUCUGUCCAGUUUGUUCUAUUUGGCCCAUGAGUUCCACGAUGACCUCAGAGGAGGGAUCCUGACAAACACCAACUGUGGAGGUGAGAACUGUAACCGCGGGGCGGCCCUUGGAGCUCUACUCGGAGCUUCCGGGCCUCAAAGUGGCGGCGUUCCUCAGCAGUGGAAGGAUGAGCUGAGAGACGGACAGGAGUUCAUCCCUGACAUCCUGAAGGAGCUGCAAUAAGGCAGCAUCGCCCCCCAGAGGACUGGAGGAGAACUACAGUGAGGCAGCGUCGCCCCCUGGAGGACUGGAGGGGAACUACAACGGUUUACAAUCACUCAGCUUUGAUUCCACAUCUCUGUAUGAUGAUUACUGAUUACUUUGGUUUUUGUACAAUGACAUCAUAUGAACUAUUAAACAUUAUUAAAUUAUACAUAUUUAUUAUUUGUGCCUUGAUUUGACCUGUUUGAAGCACCAGCAGCCUUUAAAGAACAAUAAAAACCUAAAGUGGACGGAUUCACUGAGUGUUUUUUUCACGACUAACCUGUUAAACUCUUUACCUUUAGGGAUGUUUGGGACAGUUUUUGGUUUUAAUUAAUCAGAUGUGAGCUUUAGACGCUCUCAGGGUUUUACUGGAAAUCAUCAGCUGGCAGUGACGUUAUAAGUGGAAAUAGUUUAAAUAUACUACUACUACUAAUAAUAAUAAUAAUGACAACAAUAACAAUAAUAAUAAUAAUAAUAA
Molecule: long non-coding RNA, 2582 nt
Organism: Amphiprion ocellaris (clown anemonefish)
Lineage: Eukaryota; Metazoa; Chordata; Actinopteri; Pomacentridae
Source: Ensembl